UUGUUUGAUAACAAAGAUCUGAAAUCAAUUUACAAUUAUAUAUUGCCCCAAAAAAUGUUACAGUCAUACAAUUAGUAUAGUAUUUUAUCAUAUGACUACAAAACACAACAAACACUAUAUAAACUUAAUUAUAAUUCAAUAAAAAAGAAAAAUCAUCAACAAACAUGAGAUGGAAUCAUACAAUCAUUUGAAGUGCCAUCAUCAAAGUUAAGACAAUAGCUUUGAAGAUCAUAGCUAUACUGUGGAGUCCUCCUUUUCCACACAAGAGAUUGUUUCCAGCAAUUCUUCACCUUAUAAAAUAGUUUUCUAACCAAACACUCAAGUGUCACCUUUCUUUCAACAUUAUUACCAAGUGUCACCGAAGAGGUAACUCUCGUUUUCCUUUGAAGCUUCAUCAAUUGGUUUCCUUGAAAGUUAUGAAAAAAUCUUGGGAGUUUCAUUGUUUUGCUAUAACAAAUGAAACAUCAUGAAAAAGGUGAGUUUUUUCAAGUGUGUACAACACAAUGAGGCAUCAAAUAUUUAAUGGCACUUUCUGAUCUGUGGUGAAUAAAGAAGAAAAAAAAAACAUUAUCAUGAAUAGUUUUACUUUUGCUACCUUUGCACAAUAAUGAUGGACCCAGUUUGAUGAAAGGAUUGAAGAUGUUCUCUAGUGAUGUAACAUCAAUGGGUUGCGUUUAACUUCAAUCACCUUUUUUGAAGACAACUAUUGAGUUUUGGUUUAUACAUCAUUGUGAUUUGCUUGUGUGUUACACAAAGGUUUGCCAAAGUUUGAUUCCUAGUAUUCUUCUUACUAAAAUGAGGUCUAUUAUUACAACAUAGUAAUAAAGGUACACGCUAUUCAUACGUAAACAGAUAAGAAUUCACUGUCUUUUUCUUCGAAAAGUACAUGAAUUUUAACUUGUAAUGUAGAAGUUUUUGUGUUUAAAUUAAUACAAUUCACUAUAUCAUUGGAGAAUUUUUAGAAUCAAAAGUUGUUAGGAGUAACUAAUGGAGAAAAAAUAAAUGGAGUUUGUUAUGAUUGGUUGGGAAAUGCUAUCAGAUAGACAGCUUACCAUAAAACAUUGAUGGACAAGGCUACAAACUAACGAAACGAAUCUCUUUACCUUUGACUGUUGUAGAUGCUACUACCAAGUUGAGGAUGUUGAUGUUAAAUUGAAAGGGAGAAAAACCAAUCAAUUAUGUCGUAUUAAAAACAAAGCUUGCCAAUAUUUGCUUCCAUUCAGUUGCAGAAAAUAAACAAGAGGUAUAUAACAUUUCUUUAAAUCCUACGUAUGCCAACAAGAGUUGUGUGGUAAUGAGUGAAAACUGCAAAAGUAAGAACAACAAAGAUUGUUUUGGACAGAACUGGAUUUCAGCACUGAAGAUCCAGUUCCACGCACAAUAUCCAUUUGAGGAUGGUCAGCACAUGAUCUUGAUUAGAGUUUCUCUGGCAUGGAUCCAAUAUGUACGCCAAUUCAUAGAAGAGACAAAAUGCUUGCAGGUGAGUUCUUGCCAGUACACCGAUUCAUAGUAGAGAGUAUGCUAACACCAAUUCUGCAAACCUCAGUCACAACCCCGCAUUUUGUUUACUAAAGGAGAUCCACUUCGAGUUAGAGUUCAAAGACUAGUACAAUGAUCUAUAGGCUUAUUUGUUCUAACCACUUUUUUUACAAUUUGAUGCACAAUAUAAUGCCUCAAAUUCGCCUUUAAUGUGGAUAUUAUACACCAGGAGCUCCAUAUCUUCUAUAAAUAAACCAAGUUCCGGUCUUAUUCAUCCAGCAUGGUUUGUCAAGGUUUGUUUAUAAUACAUUACAUUAUACGUAAUUAGCAAAUAGUAAAGCUAGUUGAUACAUACUGUUUUCUAAAAGAUGAAAAACUCUUAUUCUCAACCAAAUACAGAGAUUUCAGUUUUGUAUCUUAAAACACA
Molecule: long non-coding RNA, 1906 nt
Organism: Lathyrus oleraceus (garden pea)
Lineage: Eukaryota; Viridiplantae; Streptophyta; Magnoliopsida; Fabales; Fabaceae
Exons: 2
Source: RefSeq, a predicted model, not a curated record